RNAcentral lists this transfer RNA (75 nucleotides) under Niastella yeongjuensis. RNAcentral's name for it is "tRNA_Asn_GTT". It matches the Rfam family "tRNA". From Rfam's summary of the family: Transfer RNA (tRNA) molecules are approximately 80 nucleotides in length. Their secondary structure includes four short double-helical elements and three loops (D, anti-codon, and T loops). The record is from RNAcentral. Lineage: Bacteria; Pseudomonadati; Bacteroidota; Chitinophagia; Chitinophagales; Chitinophagaceae.
GGAUGAAUAGCUCAAUGGCAGAGCGUUCCCUUGUUAAGGGAAGGGUUGUAGGUUCGAGUCCUGCUUCAUCCGCAA